Oreochromis aureus is the source of this 1238-nucleotide long non-coding RNA. The record is from Ensembl. NCBI's taxonomy places the organism in Eukaryota, Metazoa, Chordata, Actinopteri, Cichliformes, Cichlidae.
GGUAUGUACGGUGGCCCUGAGAGGCCAAACGGACUGCAACUUCAGAAAACACUUGCAAAAAGAAAAAUGCUGCAAAAAGGAAAACGCUGCAAACACAAAAACGCUGCACUGCAACUUCAAGAAAAACGCUGCACUGCAAGAGAGGCCAAACGGACUGCAACUUCAGAAAACACUUGCAAAAAGAAAAAUGCUGCAAAAAGGAAAACGCUGCAAAAACAAAAACGCUGCACUGCAACUUCAAGACAAACGCUGCACUGCAACUUCAGAAAACACCUGCAAAAAGAAAAAUGCUGCAAAAAGAAAAACGCUGCAAAAAGAAAAAAUGCUGCAAAAAGAAAAAAUGCUGCAAAAAGAAAAACGCUGCAAAAGCACACAAAGCACAACGGAAAUAGGAAAAGACACAACGGAAAUAGGAAAAGACACAACGGAAAUAGGAAAAGACACAACGGAAAUGUUCCUGGGGAGACAAUAACCCGACGGACCAUUUGCACGAACCAAAACAUGCUAGCCAGUGCGCUGGGACUGCGAGACACUUCAAAGAAGUGGAGGAGAGGUUAAGAUGUAUUGUCCAUUCUGUGGAUUCCAGUUUGAGAACUUGACAAAAUUUUGCUGUUCCUGUGGAAAAGACAUAAGUUUUGUACCAGCUAAAGAUGCUUCCACAGAACAAGAACACUCAAGAGCCAAGACAGUUGUUCAGCAGUUCUUCAAGUACCGUGAAGGUAAAGAGGCAGAAAGGAGGAUGUUCUCAAAAUCCAAAAAGAAAUCAAUGAAAACAGUGAAGGUAUAAAUAAAAAGUUUUUUAAAUGUUAAUCUGUUGUCUGACAACACUUUUCUAAUAUGUGACCACUUUUUUUUCCUAAAAUGUAAUCUAGAUUUCUGUUGGGAUCAUGAACAAACAAAAGACUGGCAUGAGACCCAUAAGAGGGAAAUCACUACCAUUACAUGUUGACCCAAGCUGGUCAUCUGAGAGGCUGUUGGGUGCUGCCAUUAAAAACUGAAAGAUUUCAACCAAGAUAUGAAAGAUGUAGAAUACAUCCUGCUCUACCCUGAUGGCUCUCAAAUAAAAAAUAUUCCAGGAACUGACACACCCUUUACGAUUGAACUCUACAAAGAGGCCGUUGGCAAGUCUUACCAAAGAAUUACACUAUUUGUCUGCACACUUGAGGACUUUUUGUCAGAAUAUGUUAGUGCUUCAGAAGAUGAGGAGGAUGAUGAAGUUAUCGUUAGGGUACCACCCG